UACAGAGGGGGCAAGCGUUGUUCGGAAUUACUGGGCGUAAAGGGCGCGUAGGCGGCCUGCUAAGUCGAACGUGAAAUCCCCGGGCUCAACCCGGGAACUGCGUCCGAUACUGGCAGGCUUGAAUCCGGGAGAGGGAUGCGGAAUUCCAGGUGUAGCGGUGAAAUGCGUAGAUAUCUGGAGGAACACCGGUGGCGAAGGCGGCAUCCUGGACCGGUAUUGACGCUGAGGAGCGAAAGCUAGGGGAGCAAACGGG
RNAcentral lists this ribosomal RNA (253 nucleotides) under uncultured bacterium. RNAcentral's name for it is "partial 16S ribosomal RNA". It matches the Rfam family "Bacterial small subunit ribosomal RNA", at positions 524 to 776 of the family's 1533-position model. The record is from RNAcentral.